GGAGACAUCUCCCUAAGGAAUGAAAUCCUGUGAACACAAAGAAAGCUUCGUUGAUGGGACACUAACUUUUAAGAACCAGGAAGCAAGGAGUGGUGAACCAAUAUCAGGGUUUUCAAAGCUUCCUUAUCAAGAAGAGGGCUUCCUUGGAGACAUAGGAUUUACUGAAGGCAAUGGAGCUGGGGUGAUUUAUGUCAGCUGAGGAUCUAUCCCCCAAAUAUUAUCUUUGUGAAUAUACAUGCAACAAAUUAGCUAUGAACUGAAGUGCAUCCACACUAUAAAUUCGAGAACAGACACCCACAGGAACUGAGCUGAGACCAGAAAAUGGACACCCACAGGAACAGAAGAGAGGCACAUGGCAAAGCAAAAGAAAGAAAAAUAAAAUCCACAUGAACUCCAGUUACAAAAUCGCAGGACUAAGCUUCUUGAACUUUAUUAUCAGGUAAACUGAAGUGAGACUGAACAACUAUAUGAAGAAAAAAAAAUAUUUUUUCUAAAUCCAUUUUCUUUGGACUUGGUUAUGUUACAUUUACUCUUCCUAAGUAAUAGCUUAAGUCACUCAAUCAACAUCAGUGGGGCAGCGUUCAGCAUAAGAUAACAAUAUUGGUGAAAGCAGGUUUUCGUCUACGUUUUUCCUAAUGUUGAUUUUUGUUGCUUCCAACUGCCUCGGUAAGGUAACAGUUCGAUAUUUGUAUGCCUGUUUCUGACUACAUGGUAUCUCAGUGUUACUGUGGUUUCAUUACCAUAUCUUUUGUUGUGUGGGUUUCUAUUUCAAGAGGUUGAUCAAAAUUAAUAUGGUCCCUCUACCCAAUGGCAUUUAUUUUGGUUAUAAGAUUAGAAAUGUAAAUUUGCAAUAAAAGAAGAAAAUAGGAAGCUGUUUUUAAUGAAUAUUUUACACAUGACUAAUUAACAGAAUCCCCUACAGGAAUUUGGAAGUAAUAAGGAAUUGACUGAAAAUAAAUUAAAAAUUAAUAAAGGGGUCUCCAAACAACUUUGUUUAUGAGCAAUACCAGUUGCAUUCUUAGUUAUGAAUAUUUCAAGCUGUUUUGCUAUUCAGAAUGUAUUAUUCUUAGAGUGUUCAUAAUUUUAGAGGUGAUUAGACAAAAAAGGAGUAACACACAAAACAAAAUGUCUUGAAAUGAUAAAUCCUAC
Long non-coding RNA from Alligator sinensis (Chinese alligator), 1149 nucleotides. RefSeq lists it as uncharacterized. Lineage: Eukaryota; Metazoa; Chordata; Crocodylia; Alligatoridae. The transcript has 4 exons. The record is from RefSeq and is a predicted model, not a curated record.